Molecule: long non-coding RNA, 475 nt
Organism: Drosophila yakuba
Lineage: Eukaryota; Metazoa; Arthropoda; Insecta; Diptera; Drosophilidae
Exons: 2
Source: RefSeq, a predicted model, not a curated record
CGAGCGAACGGGAACUAAACCGCCCAGCGCGAAAACCGAAAACAUUUCCAACGCCCCGACGUUCGCGAAGAGGAAGAUCGACGCAGAGCGGCGAAAAUCUAGUUUCACUAUCGAGCGAGAAUUAUGGCUAAAAUCUUGGGGCCUCGUAUUAAGGUAAAGGUGACGGUGACUUGCUGGCCAAACACGUCCAUAAAUAAUGCAACAAUUAAAUAAAGUCAAAUAUUUAUAUACCUUAUAAACGGUAAGUAAUGACCGAUCGUAUAAUGACCAAGCUGGAAAUGAGCUGCGUGAUGAAGAAACCCCUUGAACUGAAGGAUCAGCAAUAAAUUCGAGCAUUUAAUAAUUAUAAAUAUAUAAAUGCCGCAAAUUAAGAAAUGAUUUUGGAAAUUGCCAAUCAUGGGCCAUAAAGAUCUUUGUCGCCAUAAUAUUUAUUAAAAAACCAUUGAGACGAACAAAUAAAAGGCCGCAAAACAAA